Molecule: ribosomal RNA, 433 nt
Filed under: uncultured bacterium
Lineage: Bacteria
Description: partial 16S ribosomal RNA
Rfam family: Bacterial small subunit ribosomal RNA
Source: RNAcentral
AACGAACGCUGGCGGCAUGCCUAACACAUGCAAGUCGAACGAGAACUACGGGUUUUGUUGCGCACGGGUGCGUACCGCGUGGGAACUUGCCCUUAGGUUCGGAAUAAUUCACUGAAAGGGGUGUUAAUACCGGUUAAUGUAUUAGGAGCAAAGAUCUACCGCCUUUGGAUGGGCCCGCGUUGGUUUCGCCAGUUGGUAGGGUAAAAGCCUACCAAGGCGACGAUCCAUAGCUGGUCUGUGAGGAUGACCAGCCACACUGGGACUGAGACACGGCCCAGACUCCGACGGAGGGCUGCAGAGGUGAGUACUAUGCGAUGAACGAAAGCCUAAUCCAGCAAUGCCGCGUGAGUGAUGAAGGCCUUAGGGAUGUAAAGCUCUUUUUCCCGAGAUGAUAAUGACAGUACCGGGUGAAUAAGCUCCGGCUAACUCCGUG